UGUGAUCCUUGAAGAUUGCUGUGCUUUGCAGAGGGAACUUGGCAGGCGGGCAGCGAGUCUUUACGAAUUGUCACCAAGGCUUUGUGACUUACAGGUAUGUCUCAGCUGCCUACCAUAUGGCAAACAAGAGGCAAGGCACUGGUGAGCAGCUGAUGAGUAAAUCAGACCCUUUCCUGUCCUUGUGCUGGAAAUAAAGACACCAAGAUCCCAAGCUUGAUGGCAGUGGUUGCAUCUGAAGGAGACUUCUGGUGGCUCCGAGGACAGUGGGAAACGCAGAUGUUGGUAACCGUGAACGCUUUGAGUUCUCUUUCUCACCAUUUCCAAGGGCCAUGGCUAAGUUCCCCUCAGGUCUGAGCUCCACUCUCUUUGCACUGAGCUCCUGAUGUAAAUUGGCUUUCCAGUCCUGGGUCCGUCUGGAGUGACAGGUUCUAGUGGUGUGCUGGUCCUUAGCCCUUGUCAGUCCACAGUCCCCAUUUGUUGGGGUCUGCUGGUUUGGUUCCCACUUACACUUGGAUAGCUGUUGGUGCACAGUUAUGGCCUUCUCUUGGCCAAUCCACGCUACCAUCUCUUUGGUUACUGCUGGUGUCCACAGUUCCAUUUCCUCGGUUACUAUUGGUUUCUGUUAAUGUGCACAUGAAGUGAAGGAGUAAAUAGCCCUCUUGCUAAUGGGAAUCUUGGAAGGCAAAGCUGCAAAACUAGUGGGCAUGGGGUCGAGCACUUAAGAGCCAUUAGAGUGCUUGCCCCCCAACUCUGACUCCCAUGCUAGGAUAAGUUGUUCACAGAAUGCAUUAGAUUGAAACUAGUUUGUUCACCCCCAACCU
Balaenoptera ricei (Rice's whale) is the source of this 821-nucleotide long non-coding RNA. RefSeq lists it as uncharacterized. NCBI's taxonomy places the organism in Eukaryota, Metazoa, Chordata, Mammalia, Artiodactyla, Balaenopteridae. The transcript has 3 exons. The record is from RefSeq and is a predicted model, not a curated record.